AGGCUUUGAUCCUGGCUCAGGAUGAACGCUGGCGGCGUGCUUAACACAUGCAAGUCGAACGAACCUUCGGGUUAGUGGCGGACGGGUGAGUAACGCGUGAGAAUCUGCCCUCAGGAGGGGGAUAACGGCUGGAAACGGCCGCUAAUACCCCAUAUGCCGAGAGGUGAAACGAAUUUCGCCUGAGGAUGAGCUCGCGUCUGAUUAGCUAGUUGGUGGGGUAAAGGCCUACCAAGGCGACGAUCAGUAGCUGGUCUGAGAGGAUGAUCAGCCACACUGGGACUGAGACACGGCCCAGACUCCUACGGGAGGCAGCAGUGGGGAAUUUUCCGCAAUGGGCGAAAGCCUGACGGAGCAACGCCGCGUGAGGGAUGAAGGCCUCUGGGCUGUAAACCUCUUUUCUACAAGGAAGAAGAUCUGACGGUACUUGAGGAAUAAGCCACGGCUAUAUCCG
This 451-nucleotide ribosomal RNA is filed under the name uncultured Synechococcus sp. RNAcentral's name for it is "bacterial SSU rRNA". It matches the Rfam family "Bacterial small subunit ribosomal RNA", at positions 8 to 505 of the family's 1533-position model. The record is from RNAcentral. Lineage: Bacteria; Bacillati; Cyanobacteriota; Cyanophyceae; Synechococcales; Synechococcaceae.